Molecule: ribosomal RNA, 275 nt
Filed under: uncultured bacterium
Lineage: Bacteria
Description: partial 16S ribosomal RNA
Rfam family: Bacterial small subunit ribosomal RNA
Source: RNAcentral
CCUACGGGGGGCUGCAGUAGGGAAUAUUGGUUAAUGGGCGAAAGCCUGACCCAGCAACGCCGCGUGAACGAUGAAGGCCUUCGGGUUGUAAAGUUCUUUUGGCAGGGAUGAGGAAGGACAGUACCUGUCGAAUAAGUCUCGGCUAACUACGUGCCAGCAGCCGCGGUAACACGUAGGAGACGAGCGUUAUCCGGAUUUACUGGGUGUAAAGCGCGUGUAGGCGGAUUAGUAAGUUGGAUGUGAAAGCUCCCGGCUUAACUGGGAGAGGUCGUUCA